This is a long non-coding RNA of Austrofundulus limnaeus, 2751 nucleotides long. RefSeq lists it as uncharacterized. NCBI's taxonomy places the organism in Eukaryota, Metazoa, Chordata, Actinopteri, Cyprinodontiformes, Rivulidae. The transcript has 2 exons. The record is from RefSeq and is a predicted model, not a curated record.
GUACUUGAUGCUGGUAUCGGAUCCGAUACCGAUACUGGUAUCGGUAUCGGGACACCUCUAGUAAUUUUCCGUUUUUGUUUCUAUUGAGGAGACAUUUGUAGGCUAGAAUGUCAUUCCAAGUGACGGCCGUCUUGACAUUUGUUUGAAAAUGUCGCUUAGGUAGUGCACAGGGCACGAGUUCAGCCAAAGAAUGCGACCAGCGAGCUUCUUUUUGAGCACAGGCCAUGGUAAACAAAUAUGGCGCUGAACGCCGUGAAAAAGUGUCUGCAGGUAUGGAGUCUGAUAAGUUGGCUUCCCCGACGGUGGCUGUUUCAGUUUUAAAACAGCUCGGCUGCUUUCCGGGAUCGCUUAGUGGAACGUGAUUCAAUGCUUAAAUCAAGAAGAAUGUUUUAGUCUCUCUGAUUUUCGGGACUGUUAAAUGGAGCAGAUUGGGGUUUUCCUGUUUCGGCCGCGCAACGUCACCUCCUGUGGGUGUGGCCUGGUGGGGUGGGGUGGGGUGACCCGGGCCUGGUCAUUCCCCCCCCACUGUAAACCAUAUGUUGAAAGGAGGGGGCGCGCGGAGGCGACAGAUUUCCCGUUUUGUUUUCUUUUUCAUAAACCCCUAACAUAUGCACAAAAACGGUUGCAUUUAUAAGUGACUAAGGGUUUUUUUAAAGGAAUUUGCUGAACUAGUGUUUUCAUUUGUUUGUUUUCUGUUACAAAUGAUUUUUGUGUCAAUAUAGAGUGGGGAUUUGUUCAAUUCCCUGAAGCAAGGGGAGAGUGUUUUUUUUGUUUGUUUUAUCUUAAAAUAAGAUGCAGAGAGGUAAAAAAUGUAAUAAAUCAUUCAAACUUGAAAUAGAAUGCACGACUUGUUUACAUGCCAUUUAAAAAAUAUAUAUACACCAAAGUAUUUCAAACAGACUGGGAAAAGGGAAAAAAAUGAUUUUUAUUUUUUUUUUGGUUGUCUGAGGUUUGUUUUAUGAAGGUUGUUGAAGCAGCWUUAAAGGGCAUCGUUGAAAAAAAAAAGUUUAAAAUGCCUGAUAUUAUCUGCAUGCUGUUGAAUGAAUAGAGAAAACUGUUUCAUUAAUUUCUUUGGUGUGUGUGUGUGUGUGUGUGUGUGUGUGUGUGUGUGUGUGUGUGUGUGCUUGGUUUCUUAUGUAACGGGGGAGUUUGGUUUUCCUGAUGGUCCUCUGCUCUUUCCCGGGCCCACUCCCAACCGCCGAGACCCGAGACCUGGACUAAUGAUGGACACGCGGACAAAUGGACAGUGAUGCUGAGACCAGAAGACUAUAAAGGCCAGCGCUAAGAAGAUCAUCCACAGACCAGCACCAUGAAGGCGAGAUAAUGUUGUCAUUUCUGCCUGGUUGCCUAACACUAACCCACCCCCAACAUUCUUUCAACAUGCAACAGCAGCAAAAGACCUUGGAACCGAGUGACUAUUAUCUGUCCAUCUGCGGAGAAGACUGUGAAAGUUGAUGAAACAAAGCUUCAAAGUCUGAUAGUAACAGAGCCAGCAGCUGUUUGCCACUCUACAGCACCCCAUCGUCAGAUCAAUCAGCCUGACGCUACAUCAGGCUGAUUUUGCUGUUUCUGACAAGCUGUGACAAAUGGCAGCAUCAACGAUAAAGUCCUGCAAAACAUCGGCAUGAGUGACCGUCACAAGACUGAUGUGGGAAGACAAGAGAGAGAGGGGGGAGCGGCGCUCUCUGGCAGGGUUUUCACAGCAUCAUCGCCUCAAUCAAUGCUAACGAGCACACCUGUGGAUGGCCUGGGCGGUUUUUGGAUCCAAGUUCAACCAGGGUCAAAGUGAUGACCACGACCGGGCCGGGUUCUGGUGGGGAAGAGUGGGCACGAAUUGAGUCAGACGGCCACCCCCCACCCCACCCAUGGAGAAAAGAUGAGUAAACUCACAAACACGCUGUCAUAUGUUCUGUAAAAGAAACUUUUUCUUUCUUUUAUUUUUUUUAUUGUAUGAACAGUAAUAGAGAUGUAGAAAAAACAGCUGCUCUGAAACUAUGAACUUUGACAAAGUAAAAUGUUGAACAAACUAUCUGGCAUUAAUUUUGAAGAAUGUUUUGAUAACAAGUGUAGAAGUUUUUUCUAUAAUCCUUUUUGUUUCUGUGUUUUAUUUCUAUGUGGACUUUGGACUCUGCUCUCCGGCCUGCGUCUGCCACUCCCUAACCUGGCCCACCCACYAACUUUGAAGAGGAGGGGGGGCCGGGRAACCUGGUUCGGUGUGAGCUGUGCAGUGCGGUCACGUUGUUCUCCAGACGUAGGUUCCAGUGAGGAUGAGGAUGAUGAUGAUGCACCAGCAGAAAAUAAAUUGAUGCGCCGGCCCACUGGGAAAAGUCCCGGUACUCCCAAUUGCCAGUCCGCCCCUGAGGAAGGGCUUGACAUUGUUUAACUAUUUUGGUAUUGUUUGAAUUUGUUUUUGGGAAAAAAAGAGACAUAAGAUUUUUUUUCUUUCUGCUUCCUUUCCUUUAAGUUUUUUUUAUAUAGAUUUCUUUCUUUUUGUUUUUUUAAUGAAUGAUUAAAAAAAAUACUGCAUCAAUGUGGUGGGUGAUCAGCCUGGUACUGCUGAGGAAGAUAGUGGUUUAUAAUCUAUAUGGUUUCAUUUUCUGAAAUGGUUGAUAAAGUAACUUUUUCACAGUAUAUUUUCUGAGCUGCACCUGUAUAGGGUGGUAUUUGGUUUUGCUUCCAUGACUAUGUGGACAGCAAAUUUACUGUUAAAAUGCUACUUUUACAAACUUAAUAAAAUGUUUGUCGACAACG